AUGCUACAGGGGGAGUUUACAUAUUUGCAAAAUGGAAAGAGGUGUCACCACAAGCCAAAGCAGUAUAUUUUGGCAUGGCUCAAUGGCCAUGAGCACAAAGAGCAUGAGAGCAGAGGCUUGCCUCCUCCCCCAGAACCAAACAAGGGAGGUGUUUUAAGUGAGCGUAGCGUCGGAGCUAGCAGAGCUGCUUGGCUAGCCAAACUUGUGCCCAGCAACCUCGCUGGUGAUGUUGGAUGUCUCGUGUGUACCUGCGUGAGGAAACCAAACAACAGAGCUUCAGGGAAGGGAAGGGAUUGGAAGAUGAAAAGCCAAGAUUAA
This 318-nucleotide ribosomal RNA is filed under the name Triticum aestivum (bread wheat). Its description in RNAcentral is "partial small subunit ribosomal RNA". The record is from RNAcentral. Lineage: Eukaryota; Viridiplantae; Streptophyta; Magnoliopsida; Poales; Poaceae.